AGAGUUUGAUCAUGGCUCAGAACGAACGCUGGCGGCGUGCUUAACACAUGCAAGUCGAACGCGAAAGUUUUCUUCGGAAGACGAGUAGAGUGGCGCACGGGUGAGUAACGCGUAAGUAAUCUACCCUGGUAUCCGGGAUAACCCACCGAAAGGUGUGCUAAUACCGAAUACGCUGAGUAAUCAGGAAAGGUGGCCUCUUCAUGAAAGCUACCGUACCAGGAGGAGCUUGCGUACCAUUAGCUGGUUGGUAGGGUAAUGGCCUACCAAGGCGACGAUGGUUAGCGGGUCUGAGAGGAUGAUCCGCCACACUGGAACUGAAACACGGACCAGACUCCUACGGGAGGCAGCAGUGAGGAAUAUUGCGCAAUGGGGGCAACCCUGACGCAGCGACGCCGCGUGGAUGAUGAAGGCCUUCGGGUCGUAAAAUCCUGUCAGGUGGAAAGAAGUGUAGUAUGCCUAAUACGUGUACUAUUUGACGGUACCACCAAAGGAAGCACCGGCUAACUCCGUGCCAGCAGCCGCGGUAAUACGGAGGGUGCAAGCGUUGUUCGGAAUUACUGGGCGUAAAGCGCGCGUAGGCGGCUAUUUAAGUCAGAUGUGAAAGUCCACGGCUCAACCGUGGAAGUGCAUUUGAAACUGGAUGGCUUGAGUACUGGAGGGGGUGGUGGAAUUCCCGGUGUAGAGGUGAAAUUCGUAGAUAUCGGGAGGAAUACCGGUGGCGAAGGCGACCACCUGGCCAGAUACUGACGCUGAGGUGCGAAAGCGUGGGGAGCAAACAGGAUUAGAUACCCUAGUAGUCC
Molecule: ribosomal RNA, 800 nt
Filed under: uncultured bacterium
Lineage: Bacteria
Description: bacterial SSU rRNA
Rfam family: Bacterial small subunit ribosomal RNA
Source: RNAcentral